This 317-nucleotide long non-coding RNA is filed under the name Homo sapiens (human). RNAcentral's name for it is "HSALNT0034126". Lineage: Eukaryota; Metazoa; Chordata; Mammalia; Primates; Hominidae. The record is from RNAcentral.
GUUACAACACACAAAGGUAUUCAACUUUAGUAAAGGAAAUUCUUAUAAAAGAUUAGGUAGAACAAAAAUUGAAAGUAAACGUUGUGGCCCAGCACGGUGCCUCACACCUGUAAUCCCAGCACUUUCGGAGGCCAAGGCGGGUGGAUCACGAGGUCAGGAGAUCGAGACCAUCCUGGCUAACAUGGUGAAACCCCGUCUCUACUAAAAAAAUACAAAAAAAUUAGCUGGGCAUGGUGGUGGGGGCCUGUAGUCCCAGCUACUAGGGAGGCUGAGGCAGGGGAAUGGCAUGAACCCAGGAGGCAGAGCUUGCAGUAAGC